UACAGAGGGGGCAAGCGUUGUUCGGAAUUACUGGGCGUAAAGGGCGCGUAGGCGGCCUUCUAAGUCGAACGUGAAAUCCCUGGGCUCAACCCAGGAACUGCGUCCGAUACUGGAAGGCUUGAAUCCGGGAGAGGGAUGCGGAAUUCCAGGUGUAGCGGUGAAAUGCGUAGAUAUCUGGAGGAACACCGGUGGCGAAGGCGGCAUCCUGGACCGGCAUUGACGCUGAGGUGCGAAAGCCAGGGGAGCAAGCGGG
Molecule: ribosomal RNA, 253 nt
Filed under: uncultured bacterium
Lineage: Bacteria
Description: partial 16S ribosomal RNA
Rfam family: Bacterial small subunit ribosomal RNA
Source: RNAcentral